Pelobates cultripes (western spadefoot toad) is the source of this 288-nucleotide non-coding RNA. NCBI's taxonomy places the organism in Eukaryota, Metazoa, Chordata, Amphibia, Anura, Pelobatidae. The record is from the annotation of a GenBank genome assembly.
CGAUUGGUAGAUAGUCUCAGGAACUUAUUUGGAUGUCUGUAGGUGCAUGAGUUAUGGUGAAAGGUGGUGUUGGUUAGAAAGUCAGUAAAAUUCUAAGUGUUAGAGUUUUAAGAGUAGAGUGUUAGUCUCAGAUGUUUUCCUGGGUUUCUCUGCAUGUCCGAGUUGGAGUCCCCAAACUUCCAAUUCCUCUUCUGUCUCCUUCUCUCAACUCCCUUUGUCUUAACUUUUAAAGGGCCAGACUCUCUGUACGUCAUUAGUUGAUAACCCAAUAGAAACACCGGGGGUGUG